UUCCGUAGGGGUAACCUGCGGAGGGAUCUUUACCGAGUUUACAACUCCCAAACCCCUGUGAACAUACCACUUGUUGCCUCGGCGGAUCAGCCCGCUCCCGGUAAAACGGGACGGCCCGCCAGAGGACCCCUAAACUCUGUUUCUAUAUGUAACUUCUGAGUAAAACCAUAAAUAAAUCAAAACUUUCAACAACGGAUCUCUUGGUUCUGGCAUCGAUGAAGAACGCAGCAAAAUGCGAUAAGUAAUGUGAAUUGCAGAAUUCAGUGAAUCAUCGAAUCUUUGAACGCACAUUGCGCCCGCCAGUAUUCUGGCGGGCAUGCCUGUUCGAGCGUCAUUUCAACCCUCAAGCACAGCUUGGUGUUGGGACUCGCGUUAAUUCGCGUUCCCCAAAUUGAUUGGCGGUCACGUCGAGCUUCCAUAGCGUAGUAGUAAAACCCUCGUUACUGGUAAUCGUCGCGGCCACGCCGUUAAACCCCAACUUCUGAAUGUUGACCUCGGAUCAGGUAGGAAUACCCGCUGAACUUAAGCAUAUCAAUAGGCGGAGGAA
Molecule: ribosomal RNA, 547 nt
Filed under: Fusarium oxysporum f. sp. ciceris
Lineage: Eukaryota; Fungi; Ascomycota; Sordariomycetes; Hypocreales; Nectriaceae
Description: eukaryotic LSU rRNA
Rfam family: 5.8S ribosomal RNA (bases 181-334)
Source: RNAcentral